This 3710-nucleotide long non-coding RNA is filed under the name Marmota monax (woodchuck). The record is from RNAcentral. Lineage: Eukaryota; Metazoa; Chordata; Mammalia; Rodentia; Sciuridae.
CUUAAACGUGGACGCGCGUGGACGUUUCGCUUGUCAUCAAGCCAGGCAGCGUGACGGCUGUGGCCACGGCCCUACACGUGUGGGGAGUCCGAGUCACCUGGACGGGGCUUGGAGUCCAGGGUCUGUGCCAUCAUGGCACUAGCCUAACCCGGGGCCGAGCGCCUGUGGGUUUUGGCAUCUGUGGGUCCUGGAGCCGGUCCCGGGUACCCAGGAUGCAGGGGGCCUGCGGGGGUUGCUCGAGUCUGGGACGGUCGGCCGAUUGCUGCCAAGAGACCUGGGUGGAAGGAGGGUGCCAUGCCUUGGCCCUGGGCAAGGACACAAUGCUUUGGUCUGGGCAGAGACCAGAGUCCAUGGGGGCCAGAGGGGACAUGAGGCUGAGGACUGGCCAGAGGCCCCCUGGGCUCCUGGCACCUGGUGCUGGAUGGAACCCACUGAGGUCACUGCACCUAAAUCUGCCAAGAACACAGAGCCACAGCUUUCCCGGGUGCUCCCAGAGCAAACGAGGCUCUGACAAUCAUUCUUGCCCAUUCUAGAAUAUUCCUAACGACACCCUGACCUGCUCGCUAAAAAGUGAUCCCUCAUCUGCUGGGCAUGGUGGUGCACACCUGUCCCAGCAGCUCGGGAGGCUGAGGCAGGAGGAUUGAGAGGUCAAAGCCAGCCUCAGCUAUGGUGAGGUGCUGAGCAACUCAGUGGGACCCUGACUCUAAAUAAAACACAGAAUAGAGCUGGGGUGUGGCUCGGUGGUCGAGGGCCCCUGAGCUCAAUCCCCAGUACUUAAAAAACAAAAAGUGAUCCCUCAUCUGCCCCAACUGCCAACUCUGGGCCUUAAGUCCCCCUGUCCCCCUCUGGGUGCCAGGCGUGGAUGCUGCGCCCCUCAGAGGGGCUGGGCCGUGGGCGAGGGUGGAGCAGGCCAGGCAGGCAGCCCCAGCCCCGGCUCUCCACCCAGAGGCUGGCAGGCCUCCCACACAGCCAUUCCCCCUCAGCCCUCAGGCCCCGCACCGGGAAAAACGGUAGAACAACCGCCCAACGGGGAGGCUGGGCACGGCCCCAAGACCCAGCUGGAGGGGAGAGGCCAGAGCCGCCGCAGAGCCCACCACUGAGGGAGGACAAGGUCCUGCGCCCCUCGAAAGGCCAGAAGCUGGAGGAAGGGUUCUGAGCGCGCAUGGGAGUGUGUGUGAGAGUGAGUGAGUGUGUGUGUGUGAGUGUGAGUGUGUGUGCGAGAGUAUGAGAGUGUGUGUGUGUGAGUGUGUGUAUGUGAGUGUGUAUGUGCGUGUGUGUGUAUGCAUAUGUGUGCGUGCAUGUGUGAGUGUGCGUGGUGCUGCAUGGCCUCGUGCACACGGGGCAGGCGUUCUACGCCUGAGCCACACCCCUGGUCUGAGAUUUUGAACGUUUUUACCCCAAAGAAUCAAGAAAUGUUUGGCAAGAAAGACGCGGCCUUCCGGGCACUGCGCACUGCGUCCGCGAGUUGAAACCUCACCAGCUGUCCCAGAAAUACGCGCAACUUUUGUUUUAUGUAAUACUUUGAAUUUUUUUUUCAUUGAAAAUUCUUGCCAUGUUUAGAAUUUUUUUUUCCCCAGAAAAUUCCAGAACUUGAGUGCUGGCUCGGAGCACUGGAGGACGAAGUCACAGACGGCCUUGCCCCUAGAGGUAAGUGUCCCCCAGCGAGGACGUCCGUCUAUCGAGGGCUGCAGAUGUUCCCAGCAGGUACCACUCAGGUCCGGGCGCUGCCGAGUGGACCUGGGCAGGCCCCGCAGGCAGCUGGACAAGAGCUUGUCCGUGGCUUGGAGCAGGGCGCCUCUGGCUACGCCACGUGGGUGCAUGGAACUUGGGGUCUCCACACGAGUAGAUUCAGGGUGACGUCCUUGGAUGUGGGGUGCUUCCUCCAAAGGCCUCGCCUCUGCUUGGACGGACGGACAGACGGCUCCAGAGCUGCCUGUGGGCAGCCUCCUGAGGCACCGGAAGGUGGCUGGAGCGCCCCUCCUGCCCGCCCUGCAGCCCCUCUCCUCCGGGUUGGUCCACUCCACCGGGUUCGGCCCUGGGAACCCUCGCAGACGAGAUUUUUCUGGAACUGGAGAUUCUUUUCAAAUUCCCUUCCAGGCUGACCACAGCGGUCCUCGGGAUGGUUCCUUCCGUCGGGGUUCACAGAGCGAGCUCCUGGGCCUCGGGGAGCCUGCAGUGUCCUCGGACCCGGUGUUUUAUUCCCCUGUGGGCAAUACCCACUCAUCUAUUGAGCGCCGACUACCUGCCAGGCACCAUCUUGGAUUGGGGUUCAGCAGUGAUCAAAGCAAAAGUUUCUUGCCUUUUCGGGGUUCCCUGUGGUGGGAGAUGAGUGCAGUUGGUGGGAGCCUGUGGCGUUUGGCACACACAUGGUCUGAGAGGCACCAAGGGUCUACGUGAUGGAGGCUUGUCCUGGUGUGCGAGGCACGGUGGUGGGAUCCGGGGAGGCCCUCAGGUCAGGGUUGCUCUUGGAAGGGAUUAAGGUCCUUCCUUGGGGAGGAUGUCAGAUAUUCAGGUCUCGGGAGACGUCGUCAUAAGCCCUGCUGCUGAGCCGGGCCCACCAGCACCCUGGCUUCCUGCUUUGAGAUGAUGCAACUUGUGACAGUCACAGACGCUCACUCCACUGCUGUCCACCAUGAGGUGAUGCAGCAAAGGAGGGCUCUGGCCAGAGCCUGCACCAUGCUGUUUGGACAUAAGCCUCCAAAACUACGGGCUAAACAAAACCUCUUUUCUUUAUAAAGCACCCAGCCUCAGGUACUUUGUUGUAGAAACACAGAAUGGACUAAGGCAGCAUAUGGGAGGCUUUGAGUAUCUGACAGCCGCUGGAGCAGCACCACGAACUUACUGCCUGAACACAUCAGGCUGUCCCCUUACCAUUCUAGAGGACGGGAGCAAUUCCAAGGUCAUUUUCACUGGGCAAACCCAGGGCUGGCCUCUCCUGAGGCUCCAGGGAGAGUCCGUGUCCUGCUCUCCAGCUCCUAGGGGCCCCACAGCCUGUCCCUUCCACGCUGAUGUCCCCUGUUCCUGUGCGAGAUCUCUCUCUGCCUCCUCUUAGAGGGACACACGGUGAUCUUCAGGGCUCACGGGGUAGCCCAUGACCACAGCUCCCCGCCCCCCGGCCUUAACUGAAACGCAGGCAACACAGCCGCGGAAGGGAGACUCUCAGGUUCCAAGGACUAGGACACCGCGUCCUGGGGGCUUUCUCCACCUUCACGCAGGAAGGAAACCAUUCAGGAAUGGGGAGGGGCAAGGAGGGGCCAGGGGGUCAUCUCUGAGGAGUGGCCUGAGGCCUGAAAGAGGCAGGAGGCAGUCUCCAGGAACAGCAUGCCCAGCUGAGGAACAGCAGGGGCAAAGUCUAAAGGUAAGAGUCAGCCGGUCAGGGAGCAGGACGGGAGGAAGCUGCUGGGCUGAGGGUGUGAGGAGGCUGGGGGGACACCAGGCCAAGAACACAGAGGCAGGACCCUGGACUUUCAGAGGGAUGGGCAUGUGCCCAGGUGGGUUUAAGCAGGGGUGGGCCGGGUGCCUCUGGCAGCUACAGGUAAAAGUACACCACGGCUUGCGGUCAUUCAGUGCGGGUUGCAAGGCUGUAAUCUCUGAGAUGGCUCUGGAUUUGUGUGCGUGUGGCCCUGGGGUCGGACCCAGGGACAUGCCACCACUCAGUGCACCCCAGCCCUUUCUAUUUUAUUUUGAGACAGGCUUUGCUGCAUUGCCCA